GGACUACCCGGGUAUCUAAUCCUGUUUGCUCCCCACGCUUUCGCACCUCAGCGUCAGUAAUGGACCAGUGAGCCGCCUUCGCCACUGGUGUUCCUCCGAAUAUCUACGAAUUUCACCUCUACACUCGGAAUUCCACUCACCUCUUCCAUACUCCAGAUCGACAGUAUCAAAGGCAGUUCCAGGGUUGAGCCCUGGGAUUUCACCCCUGACUGAUCGAUCCGCCUACGUGCGCUUUACGCCCAGUAAUUCCGAACAACGCUAGCCCCCUUCGUAUUACCGCGGCUGCUGGCAC
Molecule: ribosomal RNA, 292 nt
Filed under: uncultured Alphaproteobacteria bacterium
Lineage: Bacteria; Pseudomonadati; Pseudomonadota; Alphaproteobacteria
Description: partial 16S ribosomal RNA
Source: RNAcentral